Urocitellus parryii (Arctic ground squirrel) is the source of this 739-nucleotide long non-coding RNA. RefSeq lists it as uncharacterized. The record is from RefSeq and is a predicted model, not a curated record. NCBI's taxonomy places the organism in Eukaryota, Metazoa, Chordata, Mammalia, Rodentia, Sciuridae.
CGGGAGCAAAGAGACAAGGAAAUGCUGUCACCGCCGUUAACACGCACGUGGAGGUUUGUUAAAGGAAGAUCUGAUUUAAGUCCUGCCUCCAACAGUCUGAAGAUGAAGAAAAGAUGACUGAGACUGCCGAGGAUGUGCAUACCACACCUGAGCAGCUGGCUCUUGAAACACUCCUCUACAUCUCAAAACAAUGUCUGUUCAUCUGAGAAGAUUUCCAGUUAGACAUUGACUGAAGAAAGAAAUAUUUCACUUUCAAUCACAUGGUCCUGCUUGCUGUCUCUUAUUCCUUAUUCACUCUCUCGGAGGUCACUUUGUGAUUCUACCAAAUCCCACAGGAAAGGCCUCYAGAGGGUGAGUUCUGAGAGGGAAAGUGGCCAGUCUACGUGCUGUCCACAAAGAUGCCAAACUUUUCAUCCAGGAGCCAGUUCUCCCUGCUGGGCAGCCAGGGAAUAUCCAAUUAUCAAUGUACUCUUUGUGGGUCUCCUUGUCAGAGUCUGUGUCUUUAGGAGCCUAGUUCAGGAGGCUCAUCAUUAUCUAGGACCAGCUUUCUUUUCCUUAUUGUGGAUGCUUUUAACCAAAGAGUUUAAGCCUCUGUACAAUCAAGUGGUACUGGAAUUAGAAAACUCACCAAUGGCCCUAGCCAAUGAGGAUCCAUUUCCAACUGGUAUUAAAGCCACUGAACACUGAUAUCAUCAGCCCAAUAGAUAGGUUGUCUGACAGAUUUGCCCUCUUCAUCAUA